AAAAGAUGGUUCUGCUAUCACUCUUGGAUGGACCUGCGGUGCAUUAGCUAGUUGGUAAGGUAACGGCUUACCAAGGCAAUGAUGCAUAGCCGAGUUGAGAGACUGAUCGGCCACAUUGGGACUGAGACACGGCCCAAACUCCUACGGGAGGCAGCAGUAGGGAAUCUUCCACAAUGGACGCAAGUCUGAUGGAGCAACGCCGCGUGAGUGAAGAAGGGUUUCGGCUCGUAAAGCUCUGUUGGUAGUGAAGAAAGAUAGAGGUAGUAACUGGCCUUUAUUUGACGGUAAUUACCUAGAAAGUCACGGCUAACUACGUGCCAGCAGCCGCGGUAAUACGUAGGUGGCAAGCGUUGUCCGGAUUUAUUGGGCGUAAAGCGAGUGCAGGCGGUUCAAUAAGUCUGAUGUGAAAGCCUUCGGCUCAACCGGAGAAUUGCAUCAGAAACUGUUGAACUUGAGUGCAGAAGAGGAGAGUGGAACUCCAUGUGUAGCGGUGGAAUGCGUAGAUAUAUGGAAGAACACCAGUGGCGAAGGCGGCUCUCUGGUCUGCAACUGACGCUGAGGCUCGAAAGCAUGGGUAGCGAACAGGAUUAGAUACCCUGGUAGUCCAUGCCGUAAACGAUGAGUGCUAAGUGUUGGGAG
Molecule: ribosomal RNA, 639 nt
Filed under: uncultured bacterium
Lineage: Bacteria
Description: bacterial SSU rRNA
Rfam family: Bacterial small subunit ribosomal RNA
Source: RNAcentral